RNAcentral lists this ribosomal RNA (200 nucleotides) under uncultured bacterium. Its description in RNAcentral is "partial 16S ribosomal RNA". It matches the Rfam family "Bacterial small subunit ribosomal RNA", at positions 30 to 224 of the family's 1533-position model. The record is from RNAcentral.
AUUGAACGCUGGCGGUAUGCUUAACACAUGCAAGUCGAACGGCAGCAUGGUCUAGCUUGCUAGACUGAUGGCGAGUGGCGAACGGGUGAGUAAUACAUCGGAACGUACCCAGUUAUGGGGGAUAACUAACCGAAAGGUUAGCUAAUACCGCAUACGCCCUGAGGGGGAAAGCGGGGGACCGUAAGGCCUCGCGUAAUUGG